CGGACAGAUGGGAGCUUGCUCCCUGAUGUUAGCGGCGGACGGGUGAGUAACACGUGGGUAACCUGCCUGUAAGACUGGGAUAACUCCGGGAAACCGGGGCUAAUACCGGAUGGUUGUUUGAACCGCAUGGUUCAAACAUAAAAGGUGGCUUCGGCUACCACUUACAGAUGGACCCGCGGCGCAUUAGCUAGUUGGUGAGGUAACGGCUCACCAAGGCAACGAUGCGUAGCCGACCUGAGAGGGUGAUCGGCCACACUGGGACUGAGACACGGCCCAGACUCCUACGGGAGGCAGCAGUAGGGAAUCUUCCGCAAUGGACGAAAGUCUGACGGAGCAACGCCGCGUGAGUGAUGAAGGUUUUCGGAUCGUAAAGCUCUGUUGUUAGGGAAGAACAAGUACCGUUCGAAUAGGGCGGUACCUUGACGGUACCUAACCAGAAAGCCACGGCUAACUACGUGCCAGCAGCCGCGGUAAUACGUAGGUGGCAAGCGUUGUCCGGAAUUAUUGGGCGUAAAGGGCUCGCAGGCGGUUUCUUAAGUCUGAUGUGAAAGCCCCCGGCUCAACCGGGGAGGGUCAUUGGAAACUGGGGAACUUGAGUGCAGAAGAGGAGAGUGGAAUUCCACGUGUAGCGGUGAAAUGCGUAGAGAUGUGGAGGAACACCAGUGGCGAAGGCGACUCUCUGGUCUGUAACUGACGCUGAGGAGCGAAAGCGUGGGGAGCGAACAGGAUUAGAUACCCUGGUAGUCCACGCCGUAAACGAUGAGUGCUAAGUGUUAGGGGGUUUCCGCCCCUUAGUGCUGCAGCUAACGCAUUAAGCACUCCGCCUGGGGAGUACGGUCGCAAGACUGAAACUCAAAGG
Molecule: ribosomal RNA, 859 nt
Filed under: Bacillus subtilis
Lineage: Bacteria; Bacillati; Bacillota; Bacilli; Caryophanales; Bacillaceae
Description: bacterial SSU rRNA
Rfam family: Bacterial small subunit ribosomal RNA
Source: RNAcentral